This is a non-coding RNA of Peromyscus maniculatus bairdii (prairie deer mouse), 1032 nucleotides long. NCBI's taxonomy places the organism in Eukaryota, Metazoa, Chordata, Mammalia, Rodentia, Cricetidae. The record is from RefSeq and is a predicted model, not a curated record.
UCAGGAGGCUGACACAGGAGGCUCAUGAGUUCAAGGCCAACCUGGGCUGUGUAUCAAGUACCAAGUCAGCCAUAGCAAGACUCUGUCUUAAGACAAACCACCAUCCUAAAACAUCUCACCCCAUCUCUCCUGUUACUUCCCAAGACGCCAUAGUAAACAGCCUGGCCUGGUUUCCCUUCGUACGCCAGGCCUCCUGGUCAGCCGUGGUGUUUCACCACACGCCCCCUGUGGCUGGCAUAUCCCCUUCAUCCAUCCAAGUAUCUUCGAGGGCCAGCGCCACUCAGCUUCUGAGAUCAGUCACAUUCAGAGUGGCGUGGUCACAGAUGAGUGCCCCCAUAUCCUGUGAUUUGUGCUCAUUUUAAUAUUCUAAUUCUUGGCAGUUUAUCUCUCCAGAUAGACAGAUGGACAGUUUCCCAGGCUACCUGACAGCAGCGUGCCUUCUGGAGAUAAGGAAUUCCAAGUCUCCAAAGCCCAAGACUACAGCCCACAGAAUAGUCCAGCAUUCUUGUCAUGUAUUUGCUCUGAUGUACAAAGGCUGGCCCAGCAUUCCACAAGGCUGGAUGCCUUAGGUGGGACUCCAUGUGACAGCACCAGUGAACACCAUGAUCAAGAGCCCUCCCUACCUCCUUCACUGUGAAGAGGUCCAGUGCUGGGUUGUGUGGGAGUCCAUAUCCAGGGAUUAAUUAUUCUACGAACCCCAGGCCCAGGAUGGUUUCAAUGGAGCUACAUCACAAUUCAACCUGACAUCGCAGUAUGAAUCAGGGCAGCAACUGAAGCAGAUCUGCAGCACCCAGCAAGGUGGAGGAGCUAGUUCUUACAAAGGAAAACUGUGCCACCUCCACAAGCCCACAGGAACCAAGGGCCGCUGCACCAGCGCCAGGAUCCUUAUGCACAUCCACCAGAUGUUCCCAUUCUGUGUUCCUCCUUCUCCUCCUUUUUUUUUUUUUUUUUUUUUUGUGGUAGAGUGGGACACAGUAGUUUCUCUGUAUAACAGUCUUGGCUGCCCUGGAACUCAAUUUAUAAGCCAGGCCA